AUUGAACGCUGGCGGCAGGCCUAACACAUGCAAGUCGAACGGUAACAGGAAGCAGCUUGCUGCUUUGCUGACGAGUGGCGGACGGGUGAGUAAUGUCUGGGAAACUGCCUGAUGGAGGGGGAUAACUACUGUAAACGGUAGCUAAUACCGCAUAACGUCGCAAGACCAAAGAGGGGGACCUUCGGGCCUCUUGCCAUCGGAUGUGCCCAGAUGGGAUUAGCUAGUAGGUGUGGUAACGGCUCACCUAGGCGACGAUCCCUAGCUGGUCUGAGAGGAUGACCAGCCACACUGGAACUGAGACACGGUCCAGACUCCUACGGGAGGCAGCAGUGGGGAAUAUUGCACAAUGGGCGCAAGCCUGAUGCAGCCAUGCCGCGUGUAUGAAGAAGGCCUUCGGGUUGUAAAGUACUUUCAGCGGGGAGGAAGGGAGUAAAGUUAAUACCUUUGCUCAUUGACGUUACCCGCAGAAGAAGCACCGGCUAACUCCGUG
Molecule: ribosomal RNA, 490 nt
Filed under: uncultured bacterium
Lineage: Bacteria
Description: partial 16S ribosomal RNA
Rfam family: Bacterial small subunit ribosomal RNA
Source: RNAcentral